RNAcentral lists this ribosomal RNA (499 nucleotides) under uncultured bacterium. Its description in RNAcentral is "partial 16S ribosomal RNA". It matches the Rfam family "Bacterial small subunit ribosomal RNA", at positions 28 to 507 of the family's 1533-position model. The record is from RNAcentral.
GAUGAACGCUGGCGGCGUGCCUAAUACAUGCAAGUCGAGCGAACAGACGAGAGUGCUUGCUCUCUCUGACGUUAGCGGCGGACGGGUGAGUAACACGUGGGUAACCUACCUAUAAGACUGGGAUAACUUCGGGAAACCGGAGCUAAUACCGGAUAAUAUUUAGCUUCGCAUGAAGCAAUAGUGAAAGACGGUUCUGCUGUCUCUUACAGAUGGACCCGCGGUGUAUUAGCUGGUUGGUGAGGUAACGGCUCACCAAGGCAACGAUACAUAGCCGACCUGAGAGGGUGAUCAGCCACACUGGGACUGAGACACGGCCCAGACUCCUACGGGAGGCAGCAGUAGGGAAUCUUCCGCAACGGACGAAAGUCUGACGGAGCAAUGCCGCGUGAGUGAAGAAGGUUUUCGGAUCGUAAAACUCUGUUGUAAGGGAAGAACAAGUACGUUAGUAACUGAACGUACCUUGACGGUACCUUACCAGAAAGCCACGGCUAACUACGUG